Molecule: ribosomal RNA, 417 nt
Filed under: uncultured bacterium
Lineage: Bacteria
Description: bacterial SSU rRNA
Rfam family: Bacterial small subunit ribosomal RNA
Source: RNAcentral
ACGCUGGCGGCACGCCUAACACAUGCAAGUCGAACGAAGUAGCAAUACUUAGUGGCAGACGGGUGAGUAACAUGUAGGUAUCUGCCCUUUGGCCUGGAAUAACACGAGGAAACUUGUGCUAAUACCGGAUAAGUCUUUACGGAGAAAGCUUUAUGCACCAUUGGAUGAGCCUGCACUUGAUUAGUUUGUUGGUGGGGUAAUGGCCUACCAAGACUGUGAUCAAUAGCUGAUUUGAGAGGAUGAUCAGCCACAUUGGGACUGAGACACGGCCCAAACUCCUACGGGAGGCAGCAGUGGGGAAUCUUGCACAAUGGAGGAAACUCUGAUGCAGCGAUGCCGCGUGAGUGAAGAAGGCCCUUGGGUUGUAAAGCUCUUUCGUCGGGGAAGAAAAUGACUGUACCCGAAUAAGAAGGUCCG